GCCAGCAUGGCAUAGUGGAUAAUGUGUCAGACUAGGAUCCUGAGAAACCUGGGUUCUGAGCCUCACUCUGCCAUGGACA
This 79-nucleotide transfer RNA is filed under the name Sphaerodactylus townsendi. RNAcentral describes it as "tRNA-Pro". Lineage: Eukaryota; Metazoa; Chordata; Lepidosauria; Squamata; Sphaerodactylidae. The record is from RNAcentral.